UACGUAGGGGGCAAGCGUUGUCCGGAAUCAUUGGGCGUAAAGCGCGUGUAGGCGGCUCGAUAAGUCUGCUGUGAAAGUCCAGGGCUCAACCCUGGGAUGCCGGUGGAUACUGUCAAGCUCGAGUCCGGAAGAGGCGAGUGGAAUUCCUGGUGUAGCGGUGAAAUGCGCAGAUAUCAGGAGGAACACCGAUGGCGAAGGCAGCUCGCUGGGACGGUACUGACGCUGAGACGCGAAAGCGUGGGGAGCAAACAGG
RNAcentral lists this ribosomal RNA (253 nucleotides) under uncultured bacterium. RNAcentral describes it as "partial 16S ribosomal RNA". It matches the Rfam family "Bacterial small subunit ribosomal RNA", at positions 524 to 776 of the family's 1533-position model. The record is from RNAcentral.